AUGCGUAGGAGGCGAGCGUUGUCGGGAAUUACUGGGCGUAAAGGGCGUGUAGGUGGCCGAGCAAGUCAAGUGUGAAAAGCCCCGGCUUAACCGAGGCAUUGCACAUGAAACUGCAUGGCUUGAGUGCAGGAGAGGGAAGUGGAAUUCCUAGUGUGGCGGUGAAAUGCGUAGAUAUUAGGAGGAACACCAGUGGCGAAGGCGACUUCCUGGACUGUAACUGACGCUGAGGCGCGAAAGCGUGGGUAGCAAACAGGAUUAGAUACCCUGGUAGUCCACGCCGUAAACGAUGGGUACUAGGUGUGGGUAGUUCACACUAUCCGUGCCGCAGCAAACGCAAUAAGUACCCCGCCUGGGGAGUACGGCCGCAAGGUUGAA
Molecule: ribosomal RNA, 375 nt
Filed under: uncultured bacterium
Lineage: Bacteria
Description: bacterial SSU rRNA
Rfam family: Bacterial small subunit ribosomal RNA
Source: RNAcentral